RNAcentral lists this ribosomal RNA (116 nucleotides) under Pteropus alecto (black flying fox). Lineage: Eukaryota; Metazoa; Chordata; Mammalia; Chiroptera; Pteropodidae. The record is from RNAcentral.
AUGGACGGCUAUGCCACCCUGAACAAGCCCGAUGUCUGAUCUCAGAAGCUAAGCAGGAUCGGGCCUCGUUAGUACUUGGAUGGGAGACCACCUAGGAAGACCAGGUGCUGUAGGCA